This 468-nucleotide ribosomal RNA is filed under the name uncultured bacterium. RNAcentral describes it as "partial 16S ribosomal RNA". It matches the Rfam family "Bacterial small subunit ribosomal RNA", at positions 28 to 507 of the family's 1533-position model. The record is from RNAcentral.
GACGAACGCUGGCGGCGUGCUUAACACAUGCAAGUCGAACGGAAAGGCCCUGCUUUUGUGGGGUGCUCGAGUGGCGAACGGGUGAGUAACACGUGAGUAACCUGCCCUUGACUGUGGGAUAACUUCAGGAAACUGGGGCUAAUACCGGAUAGGAGCUCCUGCUGCAUGGUGGGGGUUGGAAAGUUUCGGCGGUUGGGGAUGGACUCGCGGCUUAUCAGCUUGUUGGUGGGGUAGUGGCUUACCAAGGCUUUGACGGGUAGCCGGCCUGAGAGGGUGACCGGCGACAUUGGGACUGAGAUACGGCCCAGACUCCUACGUGAGGCAGCAGUGGGGAAUAUUGCACAAUGGGCGGAAGCCUGAUGCAGCAACGCCGCGUGCGGGAUGACGGCCUUCGGGUUGUAAACCGCUUUCGCCUGUGACGAAGCGUGAGUGACGGUAAUGGGUAAAGAAGCACCGGCUAACUACGUG